AGGGCGCACGGAGGAUGCCUUGGCACUAGGAGUCGAAGAAGGACGCGACAAACGGCGAAACGCCUCGGGGAGCUGUAAGUGAGCUUUGAUCCGGGGAUAUCCGAAUGGGGAAACCCGCUAGUGGUUAUACGCUAGCACCAUAUGGUGAAUACAUAGCCAUAUAGGAGACAGACCCAGGGAACUGAAACAUCUAAGUACCUGGAGGAAAAGAAAGAAAAAUCGAUUCCCGUAGUAGCGGCGAGCGAAGUGGGAAGAGCCCAAACCGGAUUUAUCCGGGGUUGUAGGACCUUCAUAAUUGACAAAUCAUGAUAGCCGAAUGGUCUGGGAAGGCCAACCGUAGGGGGUGAGAGUCCCGUAGGUGAAAUUGUGAGAUGCAUGGAAGGAAUCCUGAGUACGGCGGGACACGUGGAAUCCCGUCGGAAUCAACGAGGACCAUCUCGUAAGGCUAAAUACUACCUAGUGACCGAUAGUGAACCAGUACCGUGAGGGAAAGGUGAAAAGAACCCCGGAAGGGGAGUGAAAGAGAACCUGAAACCGUGUGCCUACAAAUAGUCAGAGCCCGUUAAUGGGUGAUGGCGUGCCUUUUGUAGAAUGAACCGGCGAGUUACGAUAUCGUGCGAGGUUAAGCAGAAGAUGCGGAGCCGUAGCGAAAGCGAGUCUGAAUAGGGCGAAGAGUACGAUGUUGUAGACCCGAAACCGUGUGAGCUAGCCAUGAGCAGGCUGAAGGUCAGGUAACACUGACUGGAGGGCCGAACCAGGGCACGUUGAAAAGUGCUUGGAUGACUUGUGGCUAGGGGUGAAAUUCCAAUCGAACACGGAUAUAGCUGGUUCUCUCCGAAAUAGCUUUAGGGCUAGCCUCGAUGGCAAGUCUACUGGAGGUAGAGCACUGAAUGGGUGAUGGCCCCACCUCGGGGUACUGAUCUCAAUCAAACUCCGAAUGCCAGAUAGAUAUAAUCGGGAGUCAGACUGUGGGUGAUAAGGUCCAUGGUCAAAAGGGAAAGAGCCCAGACCGCCAGCUAAGGCCCCCAAGUGUCCGUUAAGUGGAAAAGGAUGUGGAGAUGCACAGACAACUAGGAGGUUGGCUUAGAAGCAGCCAUCCUUUAAAGAGUGCGUAAUAGCUCACUAGUCGAGUGACUCUGCGCCGAAAAUGUACCGGGGCUAAACGGACCGCCGAAGCUGCGGAUUGACAUUAGGGUCAGUGGUAGGAGAGCGUUCUAACAGCGGAGAAGCAGUACCGGAAGGAGCUGUGGAGCGGUUAGAAGUGAGAAUGCCGGUGUGAGUAGCGAAAGAUAGGUGAGAAUCCUAUCCAUCGAAAGCCUAAGGUUUCCAGGGGAAGGCUCGUCCGCCCUGGGUAAGUCGGGACCUAAGGUGAGGCCGAAAGGCGUAGCCGAUGGACAACAGGUUGAUAUUCCUGUACCACUUAUUAAACUGAUGGAGUGACGGAGAAGGCUAAGUUGAGCGUGUUAAUGGAUUCACGUGUAAGCAGUGAGGUGGUCAUGUAGGCAAAUCCGCAUGGCAUAACAUUGAGCUGUGAUGCCGAAGCCGAAUGGCGAAGUCAACUGACGUCACGCUUCCAAGAAAAGCUUCUAGGGUUAAUUUAAUAAGUGCCCGUACCGAUAACCGACACAGGUAGGCGAGGAGAGAAUCCUAAGAUGAGCGAGAGAACUCUUGUUAAGGAACUCGGCAAAAUGACCCCGUAACUUCGGGAGAAGGGGUGCUUGUGAAAGCAAGCCGCAGUGAAUAGGCCCAGGCGACUGUUUAUCAAAAACACAGGUCUCUGCUAAACCGCAAGGUGAUGUAUAGGGGCUGACGCCUGCCCGGUGCUGGAAGGUUAAGAGGAGAGGUUAGCGCAAGCGAAGCUUUGAAUUGAAGCCCCAGUAAACGGCGGCCGUAACUAUAACGGUCCUAAGGUAGCGAAAUUCCUUGUCGGGUAAGUUCCGACCCGCACGAAAGGCGUAACGAUCUGGGCGCUGUCUCAACAAGAGACUCGGUGAAAUCAUAGUACCUGUGAAGAUGCAGGUUACCCGCGACAGGACGGAAAGACCCCGUGGAGCUUUACUGUAGCUUGAUAUUGAGACUCGGUGGCACAUGUACAGGAUAGGUAGGAGACGAAGAAACCAGGACGCCAGUCUUGGUGGAGUCGCUGUUGGGAUACUACCCUUGUAGUCACUGGGGUUCUAACCCGUGGCCCUUAUCGGGUCAGGGAACAGUGUCAGGUGGGCAGUUUGACUGGGGCGGUCGCCUCCCAAAGAGUAACGG
Molecule: ribosomal RNA, 2259 nt
Filed under: human gut metagenome
Description: bacterial LSU rRNA
Rfam family: Bacterial large subunit ribosomal RNA
Source: RNAcentral